RNAcentral lists this ribosomal RNA (521 nucleotides) under uncultured Actinomycetes bacterium. RNAcentral's name for it is "bacterial SSU rRNA". It matches the Rfam family "Bacterial small subunit ribosomal RNA", at positions 28 to 559 of the family's 1533-position model. The record is from RNAcentral. Lineage: Bacteria; Bacillati; Actinomycetota; Actinomycetes.
GACGAACGCUGGCGGCGUGCCUAACACAUGCAAGUCGAGCGGGAUCCAUUCGGUGGUAACACUGAUGAAGAUCUAGCGGCGAACGGGUGAGUAACACGUGAACAACCUGCCCCGAAGUCCGGGAUAACCCGGGGAAACCCGAGCUAAUACCGGAUACCCCCUACUGAUCGCAUGGUCGGUAGAGGAAAGAUUUAUCGCUUCGGGAGGGGUUCGCGGCCUAUCAGCUAGUUGGUGAGGUAACGGCUCACCAAGGCAUCGACGGGUAGCUGGUCUGAGAGGACGAUCAGCCACACUGGGACUGAGACACGGCCCAGACUCCUACGGGAGGCAGCAGUGGGGAAUCUUGCGCAAUGGGCGAAAGCCUGACGCAGCAACGCCGCGUGCGAGAGGAAGGCCUUAGGGUCGUAAAUCGCUUUCGACAGGGACGAAAUUGACGGUACCUGUAGAAGAAGCCCCGGCCAACUACGUGCCAGCAGCCGCGGUAACACGUAGGGGGCGAGCGUUGUCCGGAUUUAUUGGGC